AGCCUAAAAGACCGACGUCAGCAGGUGGACCUUAUAUAAUCCGUGGUGGUUGCUCAGUAAUUACCUAGACUCUCAGUCAGCAGUUUUAAAUCAAAGCCCUGUUAUCUACAUCCAACUGCAACAACAUUCAGAGCGCAGGGAGGAUGAUGCGAGGCGGCUAAUACAAGACAAGACCCCGUUAACUUCUGUUCCAGAUGUGCCUUCAAUGUGACAACCAACCAUUAAUCAUGGGGUCUGCCUCUGCAGCUCUCCAAGCCCGGCUCCCCGAGGCCUGGGGGGGUCGCCGGGCUUGGCUGUAGCCGGGGCAUGCUCUGCUACCUCCUCAGCCAAAGAAGCCAAGACGCAAGCCUCUCUACGCCCUUCUCCAUGGGGUCUCACGAGCUAAUCGUCCGUAAAGCCGAUGGGUGGACACUAACAUUAAUCUGGUUACGAGAUAUAGAGUGGAGAUCUAUGAUAAACUUGACAACUCCUAUUCCAAGGAUGACAACCUGGGGAGCGGUGAGGGCCGGACCUUAAGAACCCCGUCACAGGGAUGCACCCUUAACAUUACCACAACAUUCACAUUGGAACCUGACACAAAAUACUUUAAAGGUCCCAUGACAUGAAAUGUUCACUUUAGGAGGUUAUUUAACAUUAAUAUGAGUUCCCCUAGCCUGCCUUUUGUCCCCCAAUGGCUAGAAAUUUUGAUAGAUGUAAACCAAGCCCUGGGUAUUCUUCUCUGCCUUUGAGAAAAGGAAAUCUGAAACGCUCGGUUGUGAAAAUGUCCCUUUUGUGACGUCACAAUAGGGAAGGUUACCUCCCCCUUUCUCUGCUUUGCCCGCACAGAGAAUUUGGCCCACCAAUGAGAAAAUGAUCUACGACCGUGCGAGCGCGAUAUUGGUUUUUCCUCGAGACAUCAUGGCUUGCAAACGACCGAAGCAUGGCAGUUAGCGCCGCCUCUUUCUUCCUCAUAGCAUUUAAAGCUACAGACACAGAAACUGCACGUCCUGAGGAAAGCUCAUUGUGGGACUGCUCGUAGUGGCUGUAAUUCUGCACCAAGGCUGAAUUUCGGGAAAGAGACUUCAGAUACAGUAUUAGGGGACCACUAAGGCCUAUAUAAAAGCAUCCAAAAACAGCAUGUCAUGGGAUCUUUAAA
Molecule: long non-coding RNA, 1135 nt
Organism: Osmerus eperlanus (European smelt)
Lineage: Eukaryota; Metazoa; Chordata; Actinopteri; Osmeriformes; Osmeridae
Exons: 2
Source: RefSeq, a predicted model, not a curated record